RNAcentral lists this ribosomal RNA (43 nucleotides) under Schistosoma japonicum. Its description in RNAcentral is "partial 18S ribosomal RNA". The record is from RNAcentral. Lineage: Eukaryota; Metazoa; Platyhelminthes; Trematoda; Strigeidida; Schistosomatidae.
GUCGUAACAAGGUUUCCGUAGGCGAACCUGCGGAAGGAUCAUU